Molecule: ribosomal RNA, 497 nt
Filed under: uncultured bacterium
Lineage: Bacteria
Description: partial 16S ribosomal RNA
Rfam family: Bacterial small subunit ribosomal RNA
Source: RNAcentral
GAUGAACGCUGGCGGCGUGCCUAAUACAUGCAAGUCGAGCGAACAGACGAGGAGCUUGCUCCUCUGACGUUAGCGGCGGACGGGUGAGUAACACGUGGAUAACCUACCUAUAAGACUGGGAUAACUUCGGGAAACCGGAGCUAAUACCGGAUAAUAUAUUGAACCGCAUGGUUCAAUAGUGAAAGACGGUUUUGCUGUCACUUAUAGAUGGAUCCGCGCCGCAUUAGCUAGUUGGUAAGGUAACGGCUUACCAAGGCAACGAUGCGUAGCCGACCUGAGAGGGUGAUCGGCCACACUGGAACUGAGACACGGUCCAGACUCCUACGGGAGGCAGCAGUAGGGAAUCUUCCGCAAUGGGCGAAAGCCUGACGGAGCAACGCCGCGUGAGUGAUGAAGGUCUUCGGAUCGUAAAGCUCUGUUAUUGGGAAAGAACAAAUGUGUAAGUAACUAUGCACGUCUUGACGGUACCUAAUCAGAAAGCCACGGCUAACUACGUG